GAUAAUUCAGUAUUUCUUUUCUUAUUCCACUGAAUAUCUCAGUCUUUACCCUGUGCAGAAUGUUCUCUACAAGUCUGGAGGAAUAAUUUCCAUUCAUCAGCCAUGGCCUAUCAAAGAAAUUACUGCUGAACUCAAAAUAAUGUUUUUCCUCUGAAGCUGAUGCUAAGGUUUGGUGAGGAUCUAUCCUGAUACUAGCUAUUACCGGCUUGGUCUCUCCUGGCCAUAUUCUUCAAAGCUGGAAAGUAAGAAUUUACUCAUUUCGAUGGAGCUUCUCAGGAAGAAAAUCAAAUCAGUCCUAUGAUUUGCCACAUAUAUUAUUAUAACGGCAUUAGGUGUUUGCUAUCCAACACAUUUGUGGCCAAUUCUCACUUAGAAAUGUAAUAAACCCAGGCAAGGCUAAACCUUCUUGGAAAAGAUAGCAAUGAGUUAAAUCUUUCUUUCUUUCUCUUUCUCUCUUUUUUUUUCCUCAGAGGAAAAUGUUCUGUCAUGAUGUGGUUUGUGUGACAGCCCAAAGUGCACAUAAGUUCUUCCUUUUGAGUUAGCUGUGUGAGGUCAUUGCUGUGAUUGCUUUGAACCUUUGGAUACAAAUAAGACCAUUUCUGAUGAAAUCAUAAAUUGCCUCCAUUAAGAGACCUAAAACAGUUUAAACUGUCACCACUGGUAUUCUUAUCGCUCUUGGAUAAGUCACUUCAGGCUGCUGAAAUUUUAUUUUUAAUAACGGCAAAUGUGUUAUGCCAGCCAUAACACUACUUACAGUCACUGUCACAUACAUGACUUCUAUAGUGGCAGUUUGAUUUGCAGAGGCAAUGGGAAUGUCUGCUGCCAGCCUCAGAAUGGAUGAGGAACCAAAUCUGUCAUGAACCUUGAAAACUUAAUAUAUCACUAACGACAGUUAAUUUAGUGGCUGGGUCCCAUGUAGGCAAGAGAAUUAAUUGCAAAACUCCUGGAAAUGAAGAUCUCCAACUUUGCUGCUGGAACCAAGUCCAAACUACUUCGUUCUUGAACUCCACAGAAGCCUAAAGAGAAAAAGAUCUUCUUAAAUGACACCAACAAUAUAACUGAAGGGAUCCCAAAGCAUGAAAGAAAUAGACCUUUUUCUGAAGAAUGGAGGCAAUUUUCAGCAGGGUAUCAGGUGGGCUGUUUCAAACAACCAGUAGCAGCGACAGCAGAUGGAGAAAGAAGAAAUGGCAAAUGACCAAACUCUGCACAAGUUCUGUCUUUUUUAUUACCUGCAUUGUGAUGUCACUCACUGAUAUGAAAGGGACAAAAAUUG
Molecule: non-coding RNA, 1273 nt
Organism: Pantherophis guttatus
Lineage: Eukaryota; Metazoa; Chordata; Lepidosauria; Squamata; Colubridae
Source: RefSeq, a predicted model, not a curated record